GACGGAAGGUGCAAGCGUUGCUCGGAAUCACUGGGCGUAAAGGGUGCGUAGGCGGCCGUGCAAGUCUGGCGUGAAAGCCCCGGGCUCAGCCCGGGAAGUGCGCUCGAAACUGCGCGGCUCGAGUGCCGGAGGGGAGAGUGGAAUUCCUGGUGUAGCGGUGAAAUGCGUAGAUAUCAGGAGGAAUACCGGUGGCGAAGGCGACUCUCUGGACGGCAACUGACGCUGAGGCGCGAAAGCGUGGGGAGCAAACAGG
RNAcentral lists this ribosomal RNA (253 nucleotides) under uncultured bacterium. RNAcentral describes it as "partial 16S ribosomal RNA". It matches the Rfam family "Bacterial small subunit ribosomal RNA", at positions 524 to 776 of the family's 1533-position model. The record is from RNAcentral.